UUUGGAAUGGCAGAUUAUAUGUGAUAGAUUUAGGUUCUAUAGAUGGAGAUUUUCUCCUUCCAAAU
RNAcentral lists this transfer RNA (65 nucleotides) under Stylochus fafai. Its description in RNAcentral is "tRNA-Leu". Lineage: Eukaryota; Metazoa; Platyhelminthes; Polycladida; Stylochidae. The record is from RNAcentral.